CAAAUUAAAAUUUAAUAUAAUUAUUUUAUUUACAAUAAAAUAUUAGCUUUUAGUUAAGCUUAAUUUGA
RNAcentral lists this transfer RNA (68 nucleotides) under Tenthredo tienmushana. RNAcentral's name for it is "tRNA-Val". Lineage: Eukaryota; Metazoa; Arthropoda; Insecta; Hymenoptera; Tenthredinidae. The record is from RNAcentral.